AUCUAAUAAUAUAUGAACAUGAAUCGUGUUCGAGUGAGUUAUGGGAUGGUAUUUUUCAUAUAUAUUGUAUGUUAGUUGUAUGUGAGCUUGUGUUAUUUCUGAAUGUACCGAGGUUUCCCACGUCUGCAAGCCUGAUGCAAUUCUACUGUCUAAUGUCAGAGGUACAUGUUUUUUGUGCACCGUUAGUAACGUGCGGUGUAAGCUAUGAGAUAUAUUCCUACUUUGCUUAUAUUAUUUUAAUUGAUAUAUAUUGAGUUGCUUAUAGUUUAAAUAGCAAUUAUGUUUCAGAUAAUUCUAUAUUGACUCAUUUUAUGUUACUUUUUAAUAUUUUAUUGGACAAGGAUUUGGAUUACAUCUUGCGAUUAACAUAUUUUUUAAUUUAUAAGAUAAAGAAUUGAAUUACUCUUAAAUUGUUACUAUUACGAAUUAUUCAUGGAUUUUUUGUUAUAUUUAAAUUAUAUAUAAAUUAUUUAGAAUUUAGGCAACACUGCACGGACUGUUAGAGAGAUUUUUAUAGACAAUAUUGUUUAUAUAUACAGUUUAAUGAAGAUAUAUAAAAUUUUUAAGCUAUACUUGUGACCAGCCCAACAUUGAGUGCAUGGAGUGAGUCACAAGAGGAAGCGAUUUAAAUAGCGUUAUCAAUAUAUAUAACAUAGUUUUCUUAACAUUCGUUUCAGAUGUAUUACAUACCACGAUACAAUGUUAUCACAUUACUUCCAUAUAAAGUUGUUUACAAUACAUUUUAUUAAUUAAAUUUUCCUUUUUUAUAUUACGUUUCUCGCCUAUUUUUUUAUGACUUGAAUGCCAAUAUUUAAUGUGUUCAUAAACUUAUAUACGCAGUUUCGUAUAUAGAUAUUCUUUAUUACUUAUAGUCGAGGAGGAAAUAAUAAAUAUAGGUAGAAAAAAAUUGCCCCACAGCCAAAUCCGAUCUCGGUGAUAAGAGCGUCUCUGUAGAGGGACAAAGGUCUAGGAUUGUGUGAUUGUUUGAACGUGGGAUUAGAGAGACGUGGUUCCGUAGGUUGCAAACGAUAAGACGGUCUACUUGAUAGAAGGUAGUCACUGUCGUCCAUGGACAUCUGCAACAUAAGAGAUGUUGCGGAUGCGUUGCUAGCCUUCGUUGCUGAGGAAGAAGAGAAGGGUGGGAAUAAGAAGAUGGCAGGAAAGGGUGGGAACAGGGAAAAGGCAAGCGGCUCUUUCGUUCAUCGGACGAAACGCAGCCAUUAAAUUAAGAAAAGAUGUUAGAUUGAAAAGAUUUAUUACCAAAAAGUUUUCAUAACACUUUAAAUAUUUAUAUUAUAGUAUAACCAUUUGUGAAUUAAAUCCUCCGUACAAUCAAUCCCUAUCAGCUUAUGAUAUAAAACUUCACAUCAAAAUAUCCUUUGUAGAAUCAGCGGAUGAACACCGCUGAACCGUAAUUGAGCUCAAAGGCUUAAUUUUCGAAUGGCCGUUAAAAAUUUUGCAAUACUCCCGGAUAUGGAUUGGUAUUGUUACAAAAAAAGUCCAAGUUUUUGAAGCUGGUAUAAAUUAAAUUACUUUAUAUUCAUUUUUAUACUUACACAGUUAAAACCAUACCUACGUACAUACUAGUAUAUGUUAGUUGUAUUAAAGUCUAUAAAAAUCUUGUUCACUAAAUAAUAUAAAUACUAUAUGCUUUUGGUUAUAAGUUUGUUAAACUUAAUCACCAAAAGUCGCCAUUUUCAAACGAAAACGAACUAUCGUCGUGAGGCUCAACGUCAUCAAUGGAUACGUAAUUAGUUAAAUCAAAUUUGUCAGCUAAAAAUGUAUCCGGAGGAUAGGUACGAGCUUUUUCAGUCGAGAAGAAAUCUGAUUUUGCGCUCUCUAAUUUAGUUGUAGUUUCAAUUGCAGCCGUUUUCUCGGUAGUGCUAGUUUUUUCAUUAUUUUUCCUCUCGGG
Molecule: long non-coding RNA, 1912 nt
Organism: Danaus plexippus (monarch butterfly)
Lineage: Eukaryota; Metazoa; Arthropoda; Insecta; Lepidoptera; Nymphalidae
Exons: 2
Source: RefSeq, a predicted model, not a curated record